Molecule: long non-coding RNA, 235 nt
Filed under: Homo sapiens (human)
Lineage: Eukaryota; Metazoa; Chordata; Mammalia; Primates; Hominidae
Description: non-protein coding lnc-FAM193B-4:5
Source: RNAcentral
UAGGUAAAAAGAGAAGAGAAAGACAUUCUUGAUUUUGGUGACUAGAGUUGUAGAUGCUGGAAGCUUUGCCACUAACAUUGAUGAACCAGAUGCAUGUCACCAGCCCAUCACGGGCACCAUGGGCCGGCACUGCCACGUUUUCCAAGGAACCUGCCAGAGCUCCUGCGGAAGCUGCUCCUCGGGCGAUGGAGUCCCUUUGCUGCUAGGCCCUUCUUCAGUCACCACAGGAUGCCUG